AAUAAAUAAAUAAAUAAUUCCACAGGAGGAAAAAAAUGCGUUCUGAAAGGAUCAGGAUUUUCAAAGGCCCCAAGCUUCAACAUAUCCGAGGAUCGAAGGCCUGAAUAAAGUGGCAUCACAGAAGUGUGAGAACAGCCUUUCCCCAUUCUCCGGAGUGGAUCCAUGAGCCAGGAGUCAGGCCUGCACUUUGAGGAGCGGAAGUGCUUUUGUGAGGACAAGCAAGAAUGUCUUGUAAUUUCAACUACCCUUAAAGCUGUUUCAGGGUUCCCUGAUAAUGAACUAACUGAUACUGGGACUUCCCUUCUCCAUCCCCCAAAGAAAAGCUGCGUUCCAACUCAACACCUCAUAGAACCAGAGCCCCCUAAUAUCCCUAGGUGUGGGCAGCUGGCAUUCCCCAACAUUCCCCUAACACCCAGCACCUAAGCUAAGAAUGCUUGGGGCCUGAACCCCAAAUGUUUAUUCAGCCAUGUAAAGCCACUUGCACACUUGUCCUAUAAAAAAGGAAAGCAACAGAAUGUUUUUCUCCUCUUGGAGCAGAGCCCCACAGUGAAUCUAGCAAUGCACUGGCUCAAACAUGCCCCCUUUUCAGCAGCAUGCUGAAAGAAAUAGGAUCCAUGCGUCAGCUGGAAUUUCUAUCUCUGAGUUUCUACCUAAACUAAGUGAUACUUUCUGUUAUUCCCAGUCACAUCAAAACAAAUGUGAGAUUCAAAUUUUAAACUGGGCUAUACUGUAACAAAUUAGACUUGACUCUUUUUGUUUUGUUUUGUUUAAAUAACAGAAAGUGACUAGAAAACUAUAGGAUCCACCUAAGAUGCUAAGACAUGGCAAAGUGAGACC
Molecule: long non-coding RNA, 837 nt
Filed under: Homo sapiens (human)
Lineage: Eukaryota; Metazoa; Chordata; Mammalia; Primates; Hominidae
Description: HSALNT0011186
Source: RNAcentral